This 763-nucleotide ribosomal RNA is filed under the name Fusarium cf. equiseti 360/HP1. RNAcentral describes it as "SSU rRNA". It matches the Rfam family "Eukaryotic small subunit ribosomal RNA", at positions 217 to 985 of the family's 1831-position model. Lineage: Eukaryota; Fungi; Ascomycota; Sordariomycetes; Hypocreales; Nectriaceae. The record is from RNAcentral.
GACANACUUNUUNAUUNAGAGGAUGGNUGGNGAUUCAUGAUAACUCCUCGAAUCGCAUGGCCUUGUGCCGGCGAUGGUUCAUUCAAAUUUCUUCCCUAUCAACUUUCGAUGUUUGGGUAUUGGCCAAACAUGGUUGCAACGGGUAACGGAGGGUUAGGGCUCGACCCCGGAGAAGGAGCCUGAGAAACGGCUACUACAUCCAAGGAAGGCAGCAGGCGCGCAAAUUACCCAAUCCCGACACGGGGAGGUAGUGACAAUAAAUACUGAUACAGGGCUCUUUUGGGUCUUGUAAUUGGAAUGAGUACAAUUUAAAUCCCUUAACGAGGAACAAUUGGAGGGCAAGUCUGGUGCCAGCAGCCGCGGUAAUUCCAGCUCCAAUAGCGUAUAUUAAAGUUGUUGUGGUUAAAAAGCUCGUAGUUGAACCUUGGGCCUGGCCGUCCGGUCCGCCUCACCGCGUGUACUGGCUCGGCCGGGCCUUUCCCUCUGUGGAACCCCAUGCCCUUCACUGGGCGUGGCGGGGAAACAGGACUUUUACUGUGAAAAAAUUAGAGUGCUCCAGGCAGGCCUAUGCUCGAAUACAUUAGCAUGGAAUAAUAGAAUAGGACGUGUGGUUCUAUUUUGUUGGUUUCUAGGACCGCCGUAAUGAUUAAUAGGGACAGUCGGGGGCAUCAGUAUUCAAUUGUCAGAGGUGAAAUUCUUGGAUUUAUUGAAGACUAACUACUGCGAAAGCAUUUGCCAAGGAUGUUUUCAUUAAUCANGAACG